GUGGUUGUGGUGGCACUAAUUUGGAGUUGCACUCCAUGGGAUUGUAGUUUGUCUUAAAAUGUUCAGGUAUCUAGGUUUAUGUUACUGUCAGAUUUCGAAUCAAAGGAGUGAUUGUCAAAACUUUCAUGCUGGUAUUGAAUGUGAUAUCCUUUACGAUUUCUUCUUUAUGCUCCUUUGGGCUGCUUAUGUUUUGGAAUGCUUGUUUGGUUGGGGGCACCA
RNAcentral lists this long non-coding RNA (219 nucleotides) under Elaeis guineensis (African oil palm). Its description in RNAcentral is "long non-coding RNA (EGUI_LNC056031)". Lineage: Eukaryota; Viridiplantae; Streptophyta; Magnoliopsida; Arecales; Arecaceae. The record is from RNAcentral.